GUGAAUCAUCGAAUCUUUGAACGCAUAUUGCACUCUCUAGUAUUCUGGAGAGUAUGCCUAUUCGAGGGUCAUUUGAAAUAAUAUAAUUUUCUAGAUUUUCUUGCACUCAAUAAUGGGUCGGUCCAGAUUUCGUGUGGUGGUCGCCUAAAAUGCAAGACAAGCUCAUUUAUUGGGUUGCGUGAUGCUUUCAGUCACCUCGUGACCUCACAAGCACUCUUCGAGCGUGUUAAGAUUUGUGCAAGAAAUAAACUUCAUUUAUCUUGGGCUUA
RNAcentral lists this unclassified non-coding RNA (269 nucleotides) under Ambisporaceae sp. RNAcentral describes it as "partial contains 5.8S ribosomal RNA and internal transcribed spacer 2". The stretch from base 1 to 71 matches the Rfam family "5.8S ribosomal RNA", at positions 84 to 154 of the family's 154-position model. The record is from RNAcentral. Lineage: Eukaryota; Fungi; Glomeromycota; Glomeromycetes; Archaeosporales; Ambisporaceae.